CCUACGGGGGGCAGCAGUGGGGAAUAUUGGACAAUGGGCGAAAGCCUGAUCCAGCCAUGCCGCGUGUGUGAAGAAGGCCUUCGGGUUGUAAAGCACUUUCAGUGGGGAAGAAAGCCUUGGGGCUAAUACCCUCGAGGAAGGACAUCACCCACAGAAGAAGCACCGGCUAACUCCGUGCCAGCAGCCGCGGUAAAACGGAGGGUGCGAGCGUUAAUCGGAAUUACUGGGCGUAAAGCGCGCGUAGGCGGUCUGAUAAGCCGGUUGUGAAAGCCCCGGGCUCAACCUGGGAACGGCAUCCGGAACUGUCAGGCUAGAGUGCAGGAGAGGAAGGUAGAAUUCCCGGUGUAGCGGUGAAAUGCGUAGAGAUCGGGAGGAAUACCAGUGGCGAAGGCGGCCUUCUGGACUGACACUGACGCUGAGGUGCGAAAGCGUGGGUAGCAAACAGGAUUAGAUACCCGGGUAGUC
This 465-nucleotide ribosomal RNA is filed under the name Vreelandella stevensii. Its description in RNAcentral is "partial 16S ribosomal RNA". It matches the Rfam family "Bacterial small subunit ribosomal RNA", at positions 338 to 795 of the family's 1533-position model. The record is from RNAcentral. Lineage: Bacteria; Pseudomonadati; Pseudomonadota; Gammaproteobacteria; Oceanospirillales; Halomonadaceae.